RNAcentral lists this ribosomal RNA (258 nucleotides) under uncultured bacterium. RNAcentral describes it as "partial 16S ribosomal RNA". It matches the Rfam family "Bacterial small subunit ribosomal RNA", at positions 793 to 1055 of the family's 1533-position model. The record is from RNAcentral.
GUCCACGCAGUAAACGAUGAUAACUCGCUGUCGGCGAUACACAGUCGGUGGCUAAGCGAAAGCGAUAAGUUAUCCACCUGGGGAGUACGUUCGCAAGAAUGAAACUCAAAGGAAUUGACGGGGGCCCGCACAAGCGGAGGAACAUGUGGUUUAAUUCGAUGAUACGCGAGGAACCUUACCCGGGCUUGAAAGUUAGCGACGAUUCUGGAAACAGGAUUUCCCUUCGGGGCGCGAAACUAGGUGCUGCAUGGUUGUCGU